GUUAACCUAGUAUAGCACACUUAAGCCUGCUACCCGCCAGAGAAUUACAAGUAAAAACUCGAAACUCAAAGGACUUGACGGUAUUUCACACCAACCUAGAGGAGCCUGUCCUAUAAUCGAUAACCCACGCUAUACCUCACCUGUUCUUGCACAAAACAGCCUAUAUACCGCCGCCUCCAGUCCACCUUGCAAAAGAACCAAUAGUGAGCAGACCCGUCAGCGCGAAAACGCCAGGUCAAGGUGUAGCAAACGAACAGGCAGAGAUGGGCUACAUUUUCUAAUUAACAGAAACCACCCACAGUAACAUGAAACCAUAUACCCAAAGAAGGAUUUAGCAGUAAGGCGUGUAAGACAUGCCCGCCUGAAGCCAG
This 371-nucleotide ribosomal RNA is filed under the name Hemidactylus longicephalus. RNAcentral describes it as "partial 12S ribosomal RNA". The record is from RNAcentral. Lineage: Eukaryota; Metazoa; Chordata; Lepidosauria; Squamata; Gekkonidae.